This 649-nucleotide ribosomal RNA is filed under the name uncultured archaeon. RNAcentral describes it as "bacterial SSU rRNA". It matches the Rfam family "Archaeal small subunit ribosomal RNA", at positions 1 to 657 of the family's 1478-position model. The record is from RNAcentral.
UUCCGGUUGAUCCCGCCGGACCUGACUGCUAUCGGAUUGAUACUAAGCCAUGCGAGUCAUUGUAGCAAUACAAGGCAGACGGCUCAGUAACGCGUAGUCAACCUAACCUAUGGACGAGAAUAACCUCGGGAAACUGAGAAUAAUGCUCGAUAGAACACUAUACCUGGAAUGGUUUGUGUUCCAAAUGAUUUAUCGCCGUAGGAUGGGACUGCGGCCUAUCAGUUUGUUGGUGAGGUAAUGGCCCACCAAGACUAUUACAGGUACGGGCUCUGAGAGGAGUAGCCCGGAGAUGGGUACUGAGACACGGACCCAGGCCCUAUGGGGCGCAGCAGGCGAGAAAACUUUGCAAUGUGCGAAAGCACGACAAGGUUAAUCCGAGUGAUUUGUGCUAAACGAAUCUUUUGUUAGUCCUAGAACCACUAACGAAUAAGGGGUGGGCAAGUUCUGGUGUCAGCCGCCGCGGUAAAACCAGCACCUCAAGUGGUCAGGAUGAUUAUUGGGCCUAAAGCAUCCGUAGCCGGCUCUGUAAGUUUUCGGUUAAAUCUGUACGCUUAACGUACAGGCUGCCGGGAAUACUGCAGAGCUAGGGAGUGGGAGAGGUAGACGGUACUCGGUAGGAAGGGGUAAAAUCCUUUGAUCUAUUGAUGAC